This 389-nucleotide ribosomal RNA is filed under the name Leucocryptos sp. Its description in RNAcentral is "partial small subunit ribosomal RNA". It matches the Rfam family "Eukaryotic small subunit ribosomal RNA", at positions 582 to 975 of the family's 1831-position model. Lineage: Eukaryota; Cryptophyceae; Kathablepharidacea; Katablepharidaceae. The record is from RNAcentral.
AUUCCAGCUCCAAUAGCGUAUAUUAAAGUUGUUGCAGUUAAAAAGCUCGUAGUUGGAUUUCUGCUGAGGACGACUGGUCCGCCCCCUGGGUGAGCAUCUGGUUCGGCCUGGGCAUCUUCUUGGGGAACUCACUGCUCUUAAUUGAGGGGUGCUGUAACGCAGAUCGUUUACUUUGAAAAAAUUAGAGUGUUCAAAGCAGGCCAACGCAUUGAAUACAUUAGCAUGGAAUAAUGGAAUAGGACUUUGGUCUUAUUUUGUUGGUUUCUAAGGCCGAGGUAAUGAUUAAUAGGGAUAGUUGGGGGCGUUUAUAUUCCGUUGUCAGAGGUGAAAUUCUUGGAUUUACGGAAGAUAAACUACUGCGAAAGCAUUCGCCAAGGAUGUUUUCAUCG